This 219-nucleotide ribosomal RNA is filed under the name Triticum aestivum (bread wheat). RNAcentral describes it as "partial small subunit ribosomal RNA". Lineage: Eukaryota; Viridiplantae; Streptophyta; Magnoliopsida; Poales; Poaceae. The record is from RNAcentral.
AUGUGUGUCCCAAAGGACAAAGGUGGAAUGGGGUUUCGCGAUGUGCAUAUCUUUGACUUGGCAAUGCUAAUGGAAAAAUGUUGGAGACCCAUAGAGCACCAUGAUUCAUUAUGUGCAAAGGUGCUUCGAUCCAAGUAUUACUCAUCCGAUGAGUUGCUCAACCGCGAGUUAAAUAAAGGUGCAUCUUAUGUAUGGCAAAGUAUUUGGGUUCGAGUUUAA